This 253-nucleotide ribosomal RNA is filed under the name uncultured bacterium. RNAcentral's name for it is "partial 16S ribosomal RNA". It matches the Rfam family "Bacterial small subunit ribosomal RNA", at positions 524 to 776 of the family's 1533-position model. The record is from RNAcentral.
UACGGGGGGGGUAAGCGUUGUUCGGAAUUACUGGGCGUAAAGGGCUCGUAGGCGGCCAACUAAGUCAGACGUGAAAUCCCUCGGCUUAACCGGGGAACUGCAUCUGAUACUGGAUGGCUUGAGUUCGGGAGAGGGAUGCGGAAUUCCAGGUGUAGCGGUGAAAUGCGUAGAUAUCUGGAGGAACACCGGUGGCGAAGGCGGGACUCUGGGCCGAUACUGACGCUGAGGAGCGAAAGCGUGGGGAGCGAACAGG